RNAcentral lists this ribosomal RNA (775 nucleotides) under uncultured bacterium. RNAcentral's name for it is "bacterial SSU rRNA". It matches the Rfam family "Bacterial small subunit ribosomal RNA", at positions 61 to 836 of the family's 1533-position model. The record is from RNAcentral.
GUCGAGCGAAGCACUUCGUUUUGAAUCUUCGGAGGAAGAACGGACUGUCUGAGCGGCGGACGGGUGAGUAACGCGUGGGCAACCUGCCUCAUACAGGGGGAUAACAGUUAGAAAUGACUGCUAAUACCGCAUAAGACCGCGGUACCGCAUGGUACAGCGGUAAAAACUCCGGUGGUAUGAGAUGGGCCCGCGUCUGAUUAGCUAGUUGGCGGGGUAACGGCCCACCAAGGCGACGAUCAGUAGCCGACCUGAGAGGGUGACCGGCCACAUUGGGACUGAGACACGGCCCAAACUCCUACGGGAGGCAGCAGUGGGGAAUAUUGCACAAUGGGGGAAACCCUGAUGCAGCGACGCCGCGUGAGCGAUGAAGUAUUUCGGUAUGUAAAGCUCUAUCAGCAGGGAAGAAGAUGACGGUACCUGACUAAGAAGCCCCGGCUAACUACGUGCCAGCAGCCGCGGUAAUACGUAGGGGGCAAGCGUUAUCCGGAUUUACUGGGUGUAAAGGGAGCGUAGACGGCGGUGCAAGCCAGAUGUGAAAGCCCGGGGCUCAACCCCGGGACUGCAUUUGGAACUGUAUGGCUGGAGUGUCGGAGAGGCAGGCGGAAUUCCUAGUGUAGCGGUGAAAUGCGUAGAUAUUAGGAGGAACACCAGUGGCGAAGGCGGCCUGCUGGACGAUGACUGACGUUGAGGCUCGAAAGCGUGGGGAGCAAACAGGAUUAGAUACCCUGGUAGUCCACGCCGUAAACGAUGACUACUAGGUGUCGGGCAGCAAAGC